CCUACGGGUGGCAGCAGUGAGGAAUAUUGGUCAAUGGGCGAGAGCCUGAACCAGCCAAGUCGCGUGAAGGAUGACGGCCCUCCGGGUUGUAAACUCCUUCUGUCAGGGAGCAAUUGAGUACACGUGUGAGCUUAGCGAGAGUACCUGAAGACAAAGCAUCGGCUAACUAAGUGCCAGCAGCCACGGUAAUACGUAGGAUGCGUGCGUUAUCCGGAUUGAUUGGGUUAAAAGGGUGCGUAGGCGGAAUAUCAAGUCAGCGGUAAAAAUUCGGGGCUCAACCGCGUCGUGCCGUUGAAACUGAUGUUCUUGAGUGGGCGAGAAGUAUGUGGAAUGCGAGGUGUAGCGGUGAAAUGCAUAGAGAUGACGCAGAACUCCGAUGGCGAAGGCAGCAUACCGGCGCCCAACUGACGCUGAAGCACGAAAGCGUGGGGAGCGAACAGGAUUAGAUACCCGAGUAGUC
RNAcentral lists this ribosomal RNA (460 nucleotides) under uncultured bacterium. RNAcentral's name for it is "partial 16S ribosomal RNA". It matches the Rfam family "Bacterial small subunit ribosomal RNA", at positions 338 to 795 of the family's 1533-position model. The record is from RNAcentral.